ACGGGUGAGUAACGCGUGGGUAACCUGCCUUAUACAGGGGGAUAACAGUUGGAAACGACUGCUAAUACCGCAUAAGCGCACAGUGCUGCAUGGCACGGUGUGAAAAGAUUUAUCGGUAUAAGAUGGACCCGCGUCUGAUUAGCUAGUUGGUGAGGUAAUGGCUCACCAAGGCGACGAUCAGUAGCCGGCUUGAGAGAGUGAACGGCCACAUUGGGACUGAGACACGGCCCAAACUCCUACGGGAGGCAGCAGUGGGGGAUAUUGCACAAUGGGGGAAACCCUGAUGCAGCGACGCCGCGUGAGUGAAGAAGUAUUUCGGUAUGUAAAGCUCUAUCAGCAGGGACGAAGAAAUGACGGUACCUGACUAAGAAGCCCCGGCUAACUACGUGCCAGCAGCCGCGGUAAUACGUAGGGGGCAAGCGUUAUCCGGAUUUACUGGGUGUAAAGGGAGCGUAGACGGUGAUGUAAGUCAGAUGUGAAAGCCCAGGGCUCAACCCUGGGACUGCAUUUGAAACUAUGUGACUAGAGUGCAGGAGAGGUAAGUGGAAUUCCUAGU
Molecule: ribosomal RNA, 556 nt
Filed under: uncultured bacterium
Lineage: Bacteria
Description: bacterial SSU rRNA
Rfam family: Bacterial small subunit ribosomal RNA
Source: RNAcentral